Erinaceus europaeus (western European hedgehog) is the source of this 479-nucleotide long non-coding RNA. RefSeq lists it as uncharacterized. Lineage: Eukaryota; Metazoa; Chordata; Mammalia; Eulipotyphla; Erinaceidae. The record is from RefSeq and is a predicted model, not a curated record. The transcript has 3 exons.
CAAAUCCAGAAACUUGACAUUAAUGCACAGUGGUUUUUCUAACUUCCCCAAAUGGCCACUGCAUCUCCUUUGCACCCAGGAUCAAGUCACAGCCUGUGUAGGGCUACUGCAUCAGGGGAAGAAACACAGCUGGACUUUCAACUUGUCAGAGCAAGUUCUGGCAGUUAGAGCAACGAACAGCUACCUGGUUCCACAUGCUAGCAUGAUGCCAACCACACUUCCCUGGACAGACAACCCCACCAAUGUGUCCUGGAGCUCUGCUUCCCAAGAGCCACACCCCACUAGGGAAAGAGAGAGGCAGGCUGGGAGUAUGGAUUGACCUGUCAGCACCCAUGUUCAGCGGGGAAGCAAUUACAGAAGCCAGACCUUCCACCUUCUGCAUCCCACAAUGACCCUGGGUCCAUAUUCCCAGAGGGAUAAAGAAUAGGAAAGCUAUCAGGGAAGGGGAUGGGAUACGGAGUUCUGGUGGUGGAAAUUGU